UAACUUUUAAACUCCAUCAAAUUUUUAAAAUGCCCUAUUCCUUUAUUUUCAAUCAAUUUUUUAUAUCAUCCGAACCGGAUAAUAAUAUUUGACGAGUGAACAAAGGAAUAGUAACAAUUAAAUGAAAUGACAUCACCUUUAAGUAGGAAAACUGUGGCAGCAAAUAGAUAUUGCAAGUGCUUUUUCACUAGACAAAGAAAACAAUCAAAAUAAAGAAGACAAAAACAAAAUCUUCCAAUAGGAAAAUGUAACGAAUGAUUUAUUUCAUAAAAUCAAAACGGUAUAUAAUUCAAUAUCAAAAGAAAAGGUUUAUUAUACAAACAAUGCAGUAUCCAAUCUCUAUCCUAUAACAAUCAAAUUAAUCCAAAUUGUAUAUAUAUAUAUAUAUAUAUAUAUAUAUAUAUAUAUAUAUAUAUAAUCAAAUCACAAUCCUCAAUCCUAAAAAGAAGAGAUGCAAUUUUAAUGAUUCUUCAAGAAUGCAAGAAAAGAUAAGACGAGAGAGAAUCCAAUAACAGCGGUAGAAACUGGCGAAGAAAAUCCAGCUCCAGUGUCCAUGGACGGUGCCGGAGCGGAGGCCAACUGGGCAGAGGUAGUUGCAAAAGAAAAGACAGCAGCAAUAAGCAAAACCAUAACGGCUCUAGAAAGGGCAACUCGCUCCAUAAUUAGUAACUCUGACAAUGUUGGAGAAUUAUAGAAGAAAAUAUUAGGACAGUUAAAGAGAGAGUCUUAAUAAUUUUCUUAGAAUGUAAGAAAGAUAUAGUAAUAAGAUGUUGCAUAUGUUGGUAUAUAUAUAUAUAUAUAUAUAAAUUUUUAUCUGACACGUUCUAAUAAAUUAAUAAAAAUAAUGUAUGUAAGAGGCUAAUAUUUAUGAAUGUGAGUUGGCCACAUCUGGAACAGCUAAAGCCUUUGAUAUUUGGUGCGCAGUGUGAAUUGGUC
RNAcentral lists this long non-coding RNA (936 nucleotides) under Ricinus communis (castor bean). RNAcentral describes it as "long non-coding RNA (RCOM_LNC002074)". Lineage: Eukaryota; Viridiplantae; Streptophyta; Magnoliopsida; Malpighiales; Euphorbiaceae. The record is from RNAcentral.